GCAUGUGCUGUGAGCUCGAUGAGUAGGGCGGGACACGUGGUAUCCUGUCUGAAUAUGGGGGGACCAUCCUCCAAGGCUAAAUACUCCUGACUGACCGAUAGUGAACCAGUACCGUGAGGGAAAGGCGAAAAGAACCCCGGCGAGGGGAGUGAAAAAGAACCUGAAACCGUGUACGUACAAGCAGUGGGAGCCCCACCACCAAAGCAUUCUCUGGUGUUGAAGGCCCUGCAAAGCAGCAUCGCGGUGGCGGAGCGUCGUUUGCGACGCCCAACACACAAAACAAGCGGUGAGUGCUUUGGGGUGGGGUGACUGCGUACCUUUUGUAUAAUGGGUCAGCGACUUAUAUUCUGUAGCAAGGUUAACCGAAUAGGGGAGCCGGAGGGAAACCGAGUCUUAAUUGGGCGUUAAGUUGCAGGGUAUAGACCCGAAACCCGGUGAUCUAGCCAUGGGCAGGUUGAAGGUUGGGUAACACUAACUGGAGGACCGAACCGACUAAUGUUGAAAAAUUAGCGGAUGACCUGUGGCUGGGGGUGAAAGGCCAAUCAAACCGGGAGAUAGCUGGUUCUCCCCGAAAGCUAUUUAGGUAGCGCCUCGUGAAUUCAUCUCCGGGGGUAGAGCACUGUUUCGGCUAGGGGGCCAUCCCGGCUUACCAACCCGAUGCAAACUGCGAAUACCGGAGAAUGUUAUCACGGGAGACACACGGCGGGUGCUAACGUCCGUCGUGAAGAGGGAAACAACCCAGACCGCCAGCUAAGGUCCCAAAGUCAUGGUUAAGUGGGAAACGAUGUGGGAAGGCCCAGACAGCCAGGAUGUUGGCUUAGAAGCAGCCAUCAUUUAAAGAAAGCGUAAUAGCUCACUGGUCGAGUCGGCCUGCGCGGAAGAUGUAACGGGGCUAAACCAU
RNAcentral lists this ribosomal RNA (901 nucleotides) under Salmonella enterica subsp. enterica serovar Infantis. RNAcentral's name for it is "partial 23S ribosomal RNA". It matches the Rfam family "Bacterial large subunit ribosomal RNA", at positions 390 to 1190 of the family's 2925-position model. The record is from RNAcentral. RNAcentral also lists the same sequence under 1 other name. Lineage: Bacteria; Pseudomonadati; Pseudomonadota; Gammaproteobacteria; Enterobacterales; Enterobacteriaceae.